Molecule: ribosomal RNA, 502 nt
Filed under: uncultured bacterium
Lineage: Bacteria
Description: bacterial SSU rRNA
Rfam family: Bacterial small subunit ribosomal RNA
Source: RNAcentral
CUGGCUCAGGAUGAACGCUAGCUACAGGCUUAACACAUGCAAGUCGAGGGGUAGCAGGGUAGCAAUACCGCUGACGACCGGCGCACGGGUGAGUAACACGUAUCCAACCUUCCAUAACUCAGGGAUAGCCUUUCGAAAGAAAGAUUAAUACCUGAUAGUACUUUUUCAAGGCAUCUUGAAAAAGUUAAAGAUUUAUUGGUUAUGGAUGGGAUGCGUUCCAUUAGAUAGUUGGUGAGGUAACGGCUCACCAAGUCUUCGAUGGAUAGGGGUUCUGAGAGGAAGGUCCCCCACAUUGGUACUGAGACACGGACCAAACUCCUACGGGAGGCAGCAGUGAGGAAUAUUGGUCAAUGGGCGAGAGCCUGAACCAGCCAAGUAGCGUGAAAAGGAUGAAGGUCCUAUGGAUUGUAAACUUCUUUUAUAGUAGAAUAAAGUGAGCCACGUGUGGUUUUUUGUAUGUAUACUAUGAAUAAGGAUCGGCUAACUCCGUGCCAGCCGCGGC